UACGAAGGGGGCUAGCGUUGCUCGGAUUGACUGGGCGUAAAGGGCGCGUAGGCGGAUAGUACAGUCAGGCGUGAAAUUCCUGGGCUCAACCUGGGGGCUGCGUUUGAUACGUGUUGUCUGGAGUUCGGAAGAGGGUCGUGGAAUUCCCAGUGUAGAGGUGAAAUUCGUAGAUAUCGGGAGGAACACCGGUGGCGAAGGCGGCGACCUGGUUCGAUACUGACACUGAGGUGCGAAAGCGUGGGGAGCAAACAGG
Molecule: ribosomal RNA, 253 nt
Filed under: uncultured bacterium
Lineage: Bacteria
Description: partial 16S ribosomal RNA
Rfam family: Bacterial small subunit ribosomal RNA
Source: RNAcentral